UACGAAGGGUGCUAGCGUUACUCGGAAUUACUGGGCGUAAAGAAUGCGCAGGCGGACUUGUAAGUUAGAAGUGAAAUCCCUGGGCUCAACCUAGGAACUGCUUUUAAAACUGCUUGUCUUGAAUGUUGGAAUGAUUAGGGGAAUUCCUGGUGUAGGGGUAAUAUCCGUAGAUAUCAGGAGGAAGACCGGAAGCGAAAGCGCUUAAUUAGCCAAAUAUUGACGCUGAUGCAUGAAAGCGUGGGGAGCAAACAGG
Molecule: ribosomal RNA, 253 nt
Filed under: uncultured bacterium
Lineage: Bacteria
Description: partial 16S ribosomal RNA
Rfam family: Bacterial small subunit ribosomal RNA
Source: RNAcentral